This 318-nucleotide long non-coding RNA is filed under the name Panax ginseng (ginseng). RNAcentral's name for it is "long non-coding RNA (PGIN_LNC005778)". The record is from RNAcentral. Lineage: Eukaryota; Viridiplantae; Streptophyta; Magnoliopsida; Apiales; Araliaceae.
AAAACUCUAGCAAAUUGGAGAGAGAAGAGGGAGAGUUAGCCGAAUCAAGAGGGAGAGGAUGAAGAUCAAGAUCAAGGGAUGAUUAAAGAUAUGAAGAAGAAGAAAAACGCUCAAGGAUUGUCUAUAAAUUGUGUUACAAUGAGCAUGUUAAAUUUCAUAUGAUGUGUAUAUGAAUCGCGAAAGUCAAAUUAUGACUAUAUGUGGUUGAGUUAUGGAACUCAAUUUGUGAUAUGUGAUAUAUCAAGCAUGUGGAAUUUACAUGUAUCUUAAACUGAUAUUUAUGUUGAGCAUGAAAUCGUAUAACUAUUUUAAAUUGAG